RNAcentral lists this ribosomal RNA (478 nucleotides) under uncultured bacterium. RNAcentral's name for it is "bacterial SSU rRNA". It matches the Rfam family "Bacterial small subunit ribosomal RNA", at positions 32 to 518 of the family's 1533-position model. The record is from RNAcentral.
AAUCAACGCUGGCGGCGUGCCUCAGACAUGCAAGUCGAACGAUUAAAGCUCUCUUCGGAGAGUGUAUAGAGUGGCGCACGGGUGAGUAACACGUAAGUAAUCUACCUUUGAGUGGGGAAUAACAUCGGGAAACCGAUGCUAAUACCGCAUAAUGCAGCGGCAUCGCAAGAUGACAGUUGUUAAAGAAUUUAUUCGCUUGAAGAGGAGCUUGCGGCAGAUUAGCUAGUUGGUAAGGUAAUGGCUUACCAAGGCUACGAUCUGUAACCGGUCUAAGAGGACGGUCGGUCACACUGACACUGAAUAACGGGUCAGACUCCUACGGGAGGCAGCAGUCGGGAAUUUUGGGCAAUGGGCGAAAGCCUGACCCAGCAACGCCGCGUGAAGGAUGAAGUAUUUCGGUAUGUAAACUUCGAAAGAAUGGGAAGAAUCAAUGACGGUACCAUUUAUAAGGUCCGGCUAACUACGUGCCAGCAGCCGC